AGAGAGAGACAUGCGCGCAUAUCAAUAAGCGGAGGAAAAGAAACUAACAAGGAUUCCCUUAGUAACGGCGAGUGAAGCGGGAAGAGCUCAAAUUUGAAAUCUUCAAGGUUCUACCUUGACGAAUUGUAGUUUAUAGAAGUGUUUUCUGUUAGUGGAGUGGCAAAAGUUCUUUGGAAUAGGACAUCAUAGAGGGUGAGAAUCCCGUAUUUGGUCAUUCCUCCUAGCGUUGUGAUACACUUUCAACGAGUCGGAUUGUUUGGGAAUGCAGUCCAAAAUGGGUGGUAAAUUUCAUCUAAAGCUAAAUAUUGGCGAGAGACCGAUAGCGAACAAGUACCGUAAGGGAAAGAUGAAAAGAACUUUGAAAAGAGAGUUAAACAGUACGUGAAAUUGUCAAAAGGGAAGCGUUUGACACCAGUGUUGUUUUUCCGAAAAUCAAUUACGAAUGUUUUAUUUUUGAGGAGUUAUGACUUCAUCGGCUUGCUCCUUUCUUUAUGAAACUUUCUUAAUGCACUUUUCGGUUAACAAGUCAACAUCAAUUUCUUUUGUUGUAAAAGGGUAUGAGGAAGGUGGCUUUCUUUUCGGAGAAAGUGUUUAUAGCCUUGUGCCUCUGCAAUCGGAGAGAUUGAGGUCUGCAGCGUAGAUCCUUCGGGGUUAGAUACGUUUGUGCUAAGUUAUAGCUUUUCAUAGACAACUUGUUGACUAUGUUUAGUCUUGUAGCUUACUCGCUGACGCUAUUUUACCUACGCUUAGGAUGUUGAUAGUCACAGCGUGUAC
Molecule: ribosomal RNA, 774 nt
Filed under: uncultured Neocallimastigales
Lineage: Eukaryota; Fungi; Neocallimastigomycota; Neocallimastigomycetes; Neocallimastigales
Description: partial large subunit ribosomal RNA
Rfam family: Eukaryotic large subunit ribosomal RNA
Source: RNAcentral